This 775-nucleotide ribosomal RNA is filed under the name uncultured Neocallimastigales. Its description in RNAcentral is "partial large subunit ribosomal RNA". It matches the Rfam family "Eukaryotic large subunit ribosomal RNA", at positions 26 to 644 of the family's 3401-position model. Lineage: Eukaryota; Fungi; Neocallimastigomycota; Neocallimastigomycetes; Neocallimastigales. The record is from RNAcentral.
CGCAUCUGUGCAUGCAGCAUAUCAAUAAGCGGAGGAAAAGAAACUAACAAGGAUUCCCCUAGUAACGGCGAGUGAAGCGGGAAGAGCUCAAAUUUGAAAUCUUAAAGGGUUUCCCUUUACGAAUUGUAGUUUAAAGAAGUGUUUUCUGUUGAGGUUUUGGUAAAAGUUCUUUGGAAUAGGACAUCAUAGAGGGUGAGAAUCCCGUAUUUGACCUUUACUUUCAACUUUGUGAUACACUUUCAAAGAGUCGGAUUGUUUGGGAAUGCAGUCCAAAAUGGGUGGUAAAUUUCAUCUAAAGCUAAAUAUUGGCGAGAGACCGAUAGCGAACAAGCUACCGUGAGGGAAAGAUGAAAAGAACUUUGAAAGGAGAGUUAAACAGUACGUGAAAUUGUCAAAAGGGAAGCGUUUGACACCAGUGUUGUUUUUCUGAAAAUCAAUUAAAGAACUGUUUAUGCUAAGCUGUUUAGACUUUAUCAGCUAUCUGUUAGUUUUGAGCUUUUCUUUAAUGCACUUUUCAGUUAACAAGUCAACAUCAAUUUCUUUUGCUGUAAAAAAGCUUGAGGAAGGUGGCUUGAGAUUCGUCUUAAGUGUUUAUAGCCUCUUGCCUAUGCAGUCGGAGAGGAUUGAGGUCUGCAGCGUAGAUCCUUCGGGGCUAAAUGCAUUUGUGCUAAGUUAUAGCAUUUUAUAGACAACUUGUUGACUAUGAUUUGUCUUGUAGCUUACUCGCUUAUGUUAUUUUACCUACGCUUAGGAUGUUGAAUCUGUGCGAGACUAC